RNAcentral lists this ribosomal RNA (540 nucleotides) under uncultured bacterium. RNAcentral describes it as "bacterial SSU rRNA". It matches the Rfam family "Bacterial small subunit ribosomal RNA", at positions 777 to 1318 of the family's 1533-position model. The record is from RNAcentral.
AAUAGAUACCCGGGUAGUCCACGCCGUAAACGAUGAAUACUAGGUGUUGGGGAGCAAAGCUCUUCGGUGCCGCCGCUAACGCAAUAAGUAUUCCACCUGGGGAGUACGUUCGCAAGAAUGAAACUCAAAGGAAUUGACGGGAACCCGCACAAGCGGUGGAGCAUGUGGUUUAAUUCGAAGCAACGCGAAGAACCUUACCAAGUCUUGACAUCGGAAUGACCGUCUCGUAACGGAGACUUCCCUUCGGGGCAUUCCAGACAGGUGGUGCAUGGUUGUCGUCAGCUCGUGUCGUGAGAUGUUGGGUUAAGUCCCGCAACGAGCGCAACCCUUAUCCUUAGUAGCCAGCAGUUCGGCUGGGCACUCUGGGGAGACUGCCAGGGAUAACCUGGAGGAAGGUGGGGAUGACGUCAAAUCAUCAUGCCCCUUAUGAUUUGGGCUACACACGUGCUACAAUGGCGUAAACAAGGGAAGCGAAGGAGUGAUCUGGAGCAAAUCUCAAAAAUAACGUCUCAGUUCGGACUGUAGUCUGCAACUCGACUA